GAUGAACGCUGGCGGCGUGCCUAAUACAUGCAAGUCGAGCGAACGGACGAGAAGCUUGCUUCUCUGAUGUUAGCGGCGGACGGGUGAGUAACACGUGGAUAACCUACCUAUAAGACUGGGAUAACUUCGGGAAACCGGAGCUAAUACCGGAUAAUAUUUUGAACCGCAUGGUUCAAAAGUGAAAGACGGUCUUGCUGUCACUUAUAGAUGGAUCCGCGCUGCAUUAGCUAGUUGGUAAGGUAACGGCUUACCAAGGCAACGAUGCAUAGCCGACCUGAGAGGGUGAUCGACCACACUGGAACUGAGACACGGUCCAGACGCCUACGGGAGGCAGCAGUAGGGGAUCUUCCGCAAUGGGCGAAAGCCUGACGGAGCAGCGCCGCGUGGGUGAUGAAGGUCUUCGGAUCGUAAAACUCUGUUAUUGGGGAAGAACAAAUGUGUAAGUAACUGUGCACAUCUUGACGGUACCUAAUCAGAAAGCCACGGCUAACUACGUG
RNAcentral lists this ribosomal RNA (497 nucleotides) under uncultured bacterium. RNAcentral's name for it is "partial 16S ribosomal RNA". It matches the Rfam family "Bacterial small subunit ribosomal RNA", at positions 28 to 507 of the family's 1533-position model. The record is from RNAcentral.